This 460-nucleotide ribosomal RNA is filed under the name uncultured bacterium. RNAcentral describes it as "partial 16S ribosomal RNA". It matches the Rfam family "Bacterial small subunit ribosomal RNA", at positions 338 to 795 of the family's 1533-position model. The record is from RNAcentral.
CCUACGGGUGGCAGCAGUGAGGAAUAUUGGUCAAUGGGCGCGAGCCUGAACCAGCCAAGUCGCGUGAAGGAUGACGGCCCUAUGGGUUGUAAACUUCUUUUAUAUGGGAAUAAAGUGAGGCACGUGUGCCUUUUUGUAUGUACCUUAUGAAUAAGGAUCGGCUAACUCCGUGCCAGCAGCCGCGGUAAUACGGAGGAUCCGAGCGUUAUCCGGAUUUAUUGGGUUUAAAGGGGGCGUAGGUGGGUAAUUAAGUCAGUGGUGAAAGUUUGCGGCUCAACCGUAAAAUUGCCGUUGAUACUGGUAGACUUGAGUACAUUUGAGGUAGGCGGAAUGCGUGGUGUAGCGGUGAAAUGCAUAGAUAUCACGAAGAACUCCGAUUGCGAAGGCAGCUUACUAAACUGUAACUGACACUGAUGCACGAAAGCGUGGGGAUCAAACAGGAUUAGAUACCCCAGUAGUC